AAAACGGUUUCAAUUGAAACCACUUUUAUUUUAAAUUACCUUUAA
Non-coding RNA from Streptococcus henryi, 45 nucleotides. The record is from Rfam. Lineage: Bacteria; Bacillati; Bacillota; Bacilli; Lactobacillales; Streptococcaceae.